This 255-nucleotide ribosomal RNA is filed under the name uncultured bacterium. Its description in RNAcentral is "partial 16S ribosomal RNA". It matches the Rfam family "Bacterial small subunit ribosomal RNA", at positions 524 to 776 of the family's 1533-position model. The record is from RNAcentral.
UACAGAGGGGGCUAGCGUUAUUCGGAAUUAUUGGGCGUAAAGGGCGCGUAGGCGGCCAUGCGUGUCUUCCGUGAAAUCCCUCGGCUUAACUGAGGACGUGCGGAAGAAACUGCAAGGGCUCGAGUCCGGGAGAGGGGGGUGGAAUUCCCAGUGUAGCGGUGAAAUGCGUAGAUAUUGGGAGGAACACCGGUGGCGAAGGCGGCCCCCUGGACGAUUACUGACGCUGAGACGGCGAAAGCGUGGGGAGCAAACAGG